AGAUAUUCCAAAUCGAGAUUUUACUGUAAAUGCGUUAUGAUUAGUGUUGGUAAGGUUGGUGGUUUUGGCCUUUUACUAAUUUAAUAAGAUUUAAUGGAAAAGCUAAUAAAUAGUAUUAGUAUAGAGAUAAAAUUUGUAUAGAUAUAAAAUAUUAAAAAUUUGUAAAAACCUCUGUAGAACAAAAAGGUUCCCUCUUUCAAGAAGAGACAGAAUAAAAAUCUAAAAAGCAAAAGCUUGCAUAUGAGUUUCUUACAUUUGAUUUUUCGUUGCCCAAUUUGUCACACCGUGGAGCUCAAAUCCAAAUUUUUUUUUGCUGAGAGUACUAGAGUAGUGUGGAAUUCUCCGGAACACUCUGGAGUAGUGUAGAAUUCUUUAAAAUACUCUAAGGCUCUCUAGAAAAGUGUAGAACCUUCUAGAACACUCUAGAAUAGUCUAUAACUUUUUAGAACAAUUUAGAAGGAUGUAGAUACUUCUAGAAUAUUCUAGAAGGGUGUAGAUACUUCUAGAACAUUCUAGAAGGGAGGAGAUAAUUCUUGUAUAUACUAAAAUACUUUAGAAUAUUUCAGACAUAUGUAGACUUUUCUAGAAUAUUCUAGACUUGUAUGGACAUAAGUAGUAUUCUAGGACAUUCUUUUAAGGAUGUGGGAUGGUGACCAUCCAUGCUUAUAAAUAUCACCUCCAUGCUUCAUUUGUAACAUAUAGAGAGAUAGAAAGAGAUAGAGAACUAAGCAAUAUAAGCUUACACUUCCAAAACUCUUGUGCUCUCUUUGUGCCACUUUCUUAAGCAUACUUCCGCUUGUGUAAUUGCUGCCAUUUUGCCGAGUUUGGCAUCCGUGGGAAGGCUGACUAGCAAUCUUGACUUCGGGAGAAUCAAGUGAGAUGGGCUGCACGUGGGCAAAGUUUGGGGAUAAAACAAAACUCACGUGACAGUUGGUAUCAGAGCCAAGUUCGUGUCAAAGCCUAGUUGGCAUUAGAGCGCGGUUGAGUUCUUUGGGGAAUUCUUGCACGAGAUUAUGGCCAACGUUGGUGAGCAAUCCAUUUCUACCGCUCCUCCCACUCCAAGGGAAGGAGGAAAGGAAAGCGGAAAGGGCCAUAGAGAUAAGUCCCGCGACGUGAUUGGCGUGAUGAAGGAAAGGCUAGUCAAGGUGGAGACUGCCAUGUCCGAUUGAUGUGAUAAAAUCGAAGACAUAAACCUUUGCAUCGAGAAGCUAGAGUCCAAGGAGGAUGAUGGGGAGCUUCGUGGGGAGAUGCAAGGUGCCUUAAAUGUUCUCGCCAAUAAUUUAGCGAGGGACAAUGAGGCUCUUAAGAAGUUGCUUGCCCAAUGCCUGGAGAAGGUUGAUAAGCUCGAGGUGGAGCUUAACUUGUGCAAGGCCGCGUGGGCGAAUAGUGGGGAGCGCAAGUAACAAUGGUGCACAAAGUCGAUGCUCUUAAACCAAAGGCCUACGGUGGGGCUAGGAGUGCAAGGGAGAUCGACAACUUAUUGUGGAACUUGGAGAGAUACUUCGAUGCAGUGGGCAUAGUGGACGACGCUACCAAGGUAAAGUCUGUAUCUCUCUACUUGAGCAAUAUUGCUACCGUAUUGUGGAGACGCAGGUGCGAGGAUGUGGAAAAGGGCCUUUGCACCAUUAAUACAUGGGAUGAUUUUGUGCGGGAGCUUAAGAAGCAAUUUUAUCCCGACAAUGCCGAGAAAGAGGCAAGGUCAAAGCUUCGACGACUCCAACAUAAAGAUGGCUACAUUCGGGAAUAUGUGAAAGAAUUCUCCGAAUUGAUGUUGGAGAUUCCCGAUUUGGGAGAGAGAGAAACAUUCCAUGCCUUCAUUGAUGGUUUGUCUCGGUGGGCUCAAUUGGAGCUAGAAAGGCGAGGUGUGCAAGACCUUGCCAUCGCGAUGGCGGUUGCCGAGUCCUUAAUAGAGUUGAAGAAGAAGGACUCAUUCAAGCCAAAGAUAAAGAAGUACGAAGGAAGUGACAAAGGUGGAGGAGAUAGAGGAAAAUCUUCUACCAAGGAUGGUAAGGCUUCGUACAAGGAUAAAGGCAAGUGGAAGAAAGAAGAUAAGCGUAGUUCUUCUCCGAAAAAGCUUGCUUGCUUCAUCUGCGACGGACCUCAUCGUGCUUACGAGUGUCCAAAGCGUGGGAAGCUUGGAGCUUUGGUAAUCACUGAAGAGGAGAAGCGAGAAGAAGAACGAAGAAUUGCUUCCCUUCGACUCCUCAAUGCCAUCCAAGCUAAAGUGGAGCAGAAGCCUCGUGGUCGGAUGUACGUGGAGACUAACAUCGGAGGCAAAAGCAGCCAAGCCAUGGUGGAUACCGGGGUUGAUACGGUGUACAUGGCGAAGGAGGUGGCCGACUUUAUAGGGCUGCCUUAUAAAAAGGAAAAGGGCUUCAUCAAGGGCGUGAAUGCGAAGAGGCUACCUGUCAUUGGCAUAGCGAGAGGGAUCAACAUUCGAAUAGGCUAAUGGUAAGGUAAGGUCGAUAUCACCAUUGCUCCUAUUGACGAUCAACGAUUCUAUCUUGGCAUGGACUUCCUCGACAUGGUGAAGGCAUUUUUAGUUCCUUACGCCAACACCAUGUGCAUAAUGGAGAAUGGCCAACCUUGUGUGGUGCCGAUAAAGAGGGAGCUAAGCCAAGAUAUGAUGGUAUCGGCCAUACAACUCUCUAAAGGGGUAAAAAGGAAGGAGCUAACCUUCUUAGCAACCCUCAAGGUGGAAGAAGGUCCCCAUGUUGAUGAUGCCACACUUCCAAGCCCUAUCCAAGGCGUGCUUGAUGAGUUCAAAGAUGUUAUGCUGUCCGAGUUGCCGAAGAAGCUUCCUCCACGACGAGAAGUGGACCAUGAGAUCGAGUUAGAACCGAGAGCCAAACCACCCGCCUUUGCACCCUAUCGAAUGGCGCCUCCGGAGCUAGAGGAACUAAGGAGGCAACUCAAGGAGCUACUUGAUGCAGGCUAUAUAAGGCUAUCCAAAGCUCCAUAUGGUGCGCCGGUUUUGUUUUAAAAGAAGCACGACGGUUCUCUUCGGUUAUGCAUUGACUACCGUGCGCUAAAUAAGAUCACAAUCAAGAAUAAGUACCCGAUUCCUAACAUUGCCGAUAUCUUCGAUCAACUUGGUAGUGCUAAGUGGUUUACUAAGUUUAUCAAGUGCGCAUUUCCGAGGGACGUGAGCCAAAGACAACAUGCGUGACAAGAUAUGGAUCAUACGAAUUCCUUGUCAUGCCCUUUGGCCUCACGAAUGCACCGGCCAUAUUCUGUACACUUAUGAACAAGGUACUUGCUCCUUACCUUGAUCAAUUUGCUGUUGUUUAUCUAGACGAUAUUGUUGUUUAUAGCAACACUUUGGAGGAGCACGUAGAGCAUCUAAGGCUAGUGUUCAAAGCCUUGCAAGAUAACGAGCUCUACGUCAAGAAGGAGAAAUGCUCUUUUGCCCAACGAGAGGUGGCAUUCCUUGGGUAUAUCGUUGGCGAUGGAAAGUUAGGGAUGGAUGGUUCAAAGGUGAAGGCCAUCCAAGAUUAGGAGCCGCCAACCAAGGUGACAGAGUUGAGAUCUUUUCUUGAUUUGGUGAACUAUUAUCGGAGGUUCAUCAAGGACUAUUCUUCCAUCGCCACUCCUUUAAUAGAUCUAUUAAAGAAGGGUCGUACUUGGGAUUGGUCUACGAAGUGCCAACAAGCCUUUGAAGGGCUAAAGAAGACCAUCAUGGAGGAGCCGGUCUUAGCACUUCCCGACCAUAUGAAGGCAUUCGAGACCCAAACCGAUGGGCAAACCGAGAGGAUCAAUGCACUCUUGGAACUAUAUUUGAGGCACUAUGUGAGUGCCAACCAACAAGAUUGGGUGAAGCUGCUUGAUGUUGCCCAAUUCUCUUACAACUUGCAAAGAAGCGAGUCUACAGGCAAGAGUUCAUUCGAGAUAGUUACGGGCCAACAACCUUACACACCAAGCACUCUUGCCAUAGAUUGGUCAAGCAGAAGUCCACCUGCCUUCAAGCUUGCGAAGGAAUGGAGGGAGCAAGCCGACGUUGCUCGAGCCUACUUGGAAAAGGCGUCCAAGCGAAUGAAGAAGUGGGCGGACAAAAAGAGGAGACCAAUGGAGUUCAAGGAAGGGGACAAGGUACUUGUCAAGCUAUAUUUGCAUGGCAAAGCUGAUGGACUUCAUUGGGGACUCAAAAGAAGGUAAGAUGGACCUUUCCCCAUUAUUAAACGUGUGGGUAAGGUAGCGUACAAGGUAGAACUUCCACAAGGCAUCAAGAUCCAUCUUGUCUUUCAUGUGAGCAUGCUGAAGCCUUAUAGGGAGGAUCGCGAUGACCCGAGCCGAGUGGAAGGGACUCCCCGAAAGUGAGGCAAGUUGGGAGCCGAUUCGCGACUUGUGGCAAUUCGAAGAGCAAAUCAAAGCUUACGAGGAGGAGGCAACGGGGGCGUUGCCAGAUUAGGUGGGGGAGAAUGUCACACCGUGGAGCUCAAAUCCAAAUUUUUUUUUGCCGAGAGUACUAGAGUAGUGUGGAAUUCUCUGGAACACUCUGGAGUAGUGUAGAAUUCUCUAAAAUACUCUAGGGCUCUCUAGAAAAGUGUAGAACCUUCUAGAACACUCUAGAAUAGUCUAUAACUUUCUAGAACAAUCUAGAAGGAUGUAGAUACUUCUAGAAUAUUCUAGAAGGGUGUAGAUACUUCUAGAACAUUCUAGAAGAGAGGAGAUAAUUCUUGUAUAUACUAAAAUACUUUAGAAUAUUUCAGACAUAUGUAGACUUUUCUAGAAUAUUCUAGACUUGUAUGGACAUAAGUAGUAUUCUAGGACAUUCUUUUAAGGAUGUGGGAUGGUGACCAUCCAUGCUUAUAAAUAUCACCUCCAUGCUUCAUUUGUAACAUAUAGAGAGAUAUAGAAAGAGAUAGAGAACUAAGCAAUAUAAGCUUACACUUCUAAAACUCUUGUGCUCUCUUUGUGCCACUUUCUUAAGCAUACUUCCGCUUGUGUAAUUGCUGCCAUUUUGCCGAGUUUGGCAUCCGAGGGAAGGCUGACUAGCAAUCUUGACUUUGGAAGAAUCAAGUGAGCUAGGCCGCACGUGGGCAAAGUUUGGGGAUAAAACAAAACUCACGUGACAAAUUAGGGUGGGCAGUGAAGGUUUCAAUAUGUCAAGACACUUUUUGCUGUCUGUCUAAGUUUUCACUUUUACCAUUUCAUAUGUCAACCUUGCACGACUAUUUUAAUGUAAUAAUGAGUUUCAUAUUGUGUACCUCUUACCAUGUCAGCAUGUAAAUUUAAAAAAAAAAAAACAUUUAAAGACAAAAAUGAUAUGAGAUAUUAAGGAAUUAUGGUUAAAAAGGUUUGCAUUACUUAUUUUAAAUUACUAUCUUUUAAAUACGAUAAAAAUUUUAAAAUUAUUAAAAACUCAAUUAGAAUAAAUUAUUUUUUAUUAAUUUAUUUUUGCUUAGUAUUAUUUUAUAUAUAAUUCUUUGUCUAUAAGAUUAAAAUUAUAAUUUGAAUUUAUAAUUUAAAUUAUGAAAUUUAGAUUAUAUUAAAAAUUAUAAUCCCCGUGAUACAGACAUACAAUUAAUUACUAUAAAGCUGCUCAACCAUUAAGUUAUUAUUUCAAUUGAUAACAUUCAAAAUUAAAUGCAUAUAUCAUUUCAAUUUUCGAUUUAAUUGAAGACUGCAAGUUAAUAUUUUUAUUGAUCUCUUAAAAAAUAAAUGAAAAGAGUUGCAUGAAAUAAAUCUACCCAUAGUCAAUAGACUGCCCAUUACAUGUAGUUUAAUUCAAUAUCCUAAUCACCAAUAUGCAAGUGAAAAAAAGUCCCUAAGUGAACCACGUCAAAAACUGAAAAAAAUAUAUUAAUUUCAACAUGAUAAAAAUAAAUUGGCUAAGAAUAGGAGUAAUAGAAAGAUGAAACGACUGUCCCUGGUUUCAUUAACUGUAGUUAUAAUUAUUUCUUUGAUUGUAUGUUUAAGUUAAAUUAAGGUAACAUCAAAUAUACAAUUCCGUUCUUUUAUUUUUAAAAGUAUAUAUAAUAAUUUCUAUGAGAUUUUGAGUUUAUUAACCGGUUAAUUAUACAUAUUUUUGUGACUAACAAUAGAAAUUUAUAGUAGGUCCGAAGCUUUGCAUGUUAACAUCUUGCGUGAAAAAUCAAGAUUUUUAAAUAUUAAAUGAAAAGGUAAAAUAAAAAAAUGUAAAAGAAGCAAAUUAGGAUAAAAAAAUAAAUAAAGCAGAUUAAUAUUUCUAUAAGAUUAUUUUCUAAAUUGGUUUUAUAUAUAAUUGAUAGUUCCUAUCAUAAUUUUAUAUUGUGGUUGACAACAUACGAAUUUAAUAUACAUUGAUAGAUAUUGACAUGGCUCUAAAUUAGAGCUUUAAUAAAAGAAGGAAUUGAUUACAUUAUUAAGAAUAUUAAAUUUUGAUACAUACUGUGCUAUAAUUUUUAAUUUUAAAAUUUCUAGCCCGAACUAUAUAAAUCACCAAUUGCACAUACAAUUGUUCAAAAAUUGGACUAUGAAAUUCUAAAAGAAUGAAAAUAUUGAAUAUUAUGAAUUGUUAAAUAAAGUAAAACUUAGUUGAAUAUUGUAAAUUUAAAAGAUUAUCUAAAUAUUUUUAAAAUUAUGCUAUUAUGCAAUAUUAAAGGUGUUUAUGAUUCUAAAUUUAAUAAUUAUUUUAUUUUUUAUUACAUAAAUAUGUUGAAUCCAAUUAUUAAGAUUUACAUGUAUUAUAUGCGGAUGGAAAACUAAGUAAGUUAAAAAUUCAAUCAAAGUUAUGAAUCAAUAUGACAAAAAUAGAUGACAGGGAGAUUACUAAAAGCACGUCAUAUGCUAGAUUUCAAUCUGAAAUUCUAAAUGUCACGAGUUUAAAGGGUAAAAAGGUCUCCUUGAUUUUGUUUACUUUAAUCUAGAAAUUUUGUGUUCCUCCUUUGUUUAUUCUUCUAUCAAACUGUCCACAGUUUGACAUCAAGAGCAGAGUUCCCUUCAGCAGUGGCUACAAUGGAUGGUUUUGGAGGUGCAGACCUGACUGUUACUAAA
Molecule: RNA transcript, 6975 nt
Organism: Ricinus communis (castor bean)
Lineage: Eukaryota; Viridiplantae; Streptophyta; Magnoliopsida; Malpighiales; Euphorbiaceae
Exons: 2
Source: RefSeq, a predicted model, not a curated record